This 497-nucleotide ribosomal RNA is filed under the name uncultured bacterium. RNAcentral's name for it is "partial 16S ribosomal RNA". It matches the Rfam family "Bacterial small subunit ribosomal RNA", at positions 28 to 507 of the family's 1533-position model. The record is from RNAcentral.
GAUGAACGCUGGCGGCGUGCCUAAUACAUGCAAGUCGAGCGAACAGACGAGGAUCUUGCUCCUCUGACGUUAGCGGCGGACGGGUGAGUAACACGUGGCUAACCUACCUAUAAGACUGGGAUAACUUCGGAACCCCGGAGCUAAUACCGGAUAAUCUAUUGAACCGCAGGGUUCAAUAUUGAAAGACGGUUUUGCUUUUACUUAUAGAUGGUUCCGCGCCGCCUUAGCUAGUUGGUGAGGUAACGGCUUACCAAGGCAACGAUGCGUAGCCGACCUGAGAGGGUGAGCGGCCACACUGGAACUGAGACACGGUCCAGACUCCUACGGGAGGGAGCAGUAGGGAAGCUGCCGCAAUGGGCGAAAGCCUGACGGAGCAGCGCCGAGGGAGUGAUGAAGGUCUUCGGAUCGGAAAAGUCUGUUAUUAGGGAAGAAGAAAUGUGUAAGUAACUAUGCACGUCUUGACGGUACCUAAUGAGAAAGCAACGGCUAACUACGUG